Molecule: microRNA precursor, 78 nt
Filed under: Schistosoma haematobium
Lineage: Eukaryota; Metazoa; Platyhelminthes; Trematoda; Strigeidida; Schistosomatidae
Description: mir-3492 microRNA precursor family
Rfam family: mir-3492 microRNA precursor family
Source: Rfam by way of RNAcentral
AGCUUUUCGAAUCCGUGCAGAGGUUUCGUUAGACACCAGCCCAUCAGGGUUGAUCAGACUUUCGAGAUAAGUGAAAUU